CCUACGGGAGGCAGCAGUGGGGAAUCUUGCGCAAUGGGCGAAAGCCUGACGCAGCCAUGCCGCGUGAAUGAUGAAGGUCUUAGGAUUGUAAAAUUCUUUCACCGGGGACGAUAAUGACGGUACCCGGAGAAGAAGCCCCGGCUAACUUCGUGCCAGCAGCCGCGGUAAUACGAAGGGGGCUAGCGUUGCUCGGAAUUACUGGGCGUAAAGGGAGCGUAGGCGGAUAGUUUAGUCAGAGGUGAGAGCCCAGGGCUCAACCUUGGAAUUGCCUUUGAUACUGGCUAUCUUGAGUGUGGGAGAGGUAUGUGGAACUCCGAGUGUAGAGGUGAAAUUCGUAGAUAUUCGGAAGAACACCAGUGGCGAAGGCGACAUACUGGCCCAUUACUGACGCUGAGGCUCGAAAGCGUGGGGAGCAAACAGGAUUAGAUACCCUGGUAGUCCACGCUGUAAACGAUGAGUGCUAGUUGUCGGCAGGCAUGCCUGUCGGUGACGCNGCUACGCAUUAAGCACUCCGCCGUCGGGGAGGUACGGUCGCGAGAUUAAACUACGAAAGAAGUUAGACGGCGUGAGACGUGCCGACGGACGACGACGAGGGAGGUUAGG
RNAcentral lists this ribosomal RNA (603 nucleotides) under uncultured bacterium. RNAcentral describes it as "bacterial SSU rRNA". The stretch from base 1 to 516 matches the Rfam family "Bacterial small subunit ribosomal RNA", at positions 338 to 873 of the family's 1533-position model. The record is from RNAcentral.